GAACAAAGGACAAAGAACAACAUCGCCAGCUAAAAGUUCAGGGCGGCGACGCGGAACUGGCGAGGGGAAUGUUGCUGUUGAAGGGCGUGGAUGGACUGAGGGGGCUGAGGCCGCUGGUUCACCUGCUGGUCCCGCUCUGCGUCCACUGGAUCGCCGAGGAAAUGACGGUGUCGGUGCUCGUCGACGUCCUGAUCGACGCUCUGUGCCCCGGCGACACCACCUGCUCUGAAGUCAUCUACUUCAACGGCCUCCAGCAGACGAUCGUUGGAGUUUUCAAGAUGUUUUCGAUUCCCAUCCUCGGUCAGCUUGCAGACGAGUAUGGACGGAAGCCGGUGCUCCUCGUGAUCAUAUCGACGUCCGUGUUUCCCUUUGCUAUGCUGGCCUGGGAUCAGUCGAGGGGAUUUGUAUAUGCGUAUUAUGUGCUCCGGACCAUAUCAUACAUUCUCAGCCAGGGCAGUAUAUUCUGUGUUUCCGUUGCCUAUGCGGCGGAUGUCGUUGAACCCGGUAAGAGGGCUUUCGCGUUUGGCUGGAUUACAGGGUUUUAUUCUGCUUCUCAUGUCCUGGGAAACUUGGUAGCACGUUUUCUCCCAGAGAAGUACAUAUUUGAUGUUUCAAUAGCUCUCCUGCUCUGUUGCCCGAUAUAUAUCUACGUGUUUCUGCGUGAGACAGUUAAGUAUGCCCCAAGGCAGGAACAAGACUCCACAUGGUCGACUAGGAUUUUAAGGGGUGUGUCCAAACGGUACAGGUCAAUGAGAGAUGCUGCAAUAAUAGUUAUAAGGAGUCAAACACUCAGAGGCAUCUCCGUUGUUUCCUUCCUCUACCAGUUGGGAAUGACUGGCAUCAGCAACGUAUUACUGUACUAUCUGGAGGCAGCUUUUGGUUUUACCAAGAACCAAUUUUCGGAGAUUCUAAUAGUAGUGGAAGCGGGUUCAAUAGUUUCACAGAUUUUGGUUCUCCCUCUUGUAAAUCCUUUGGUUGGAGAAAAAGUAAUACUCUGCAUAGGCUUACUUGCAUCAAUUGCUUAUGCAUUGUUCUAUGGCUUGGCUUGGGCAUCAUGGGUGGCAUACUUAAGUGCCUCUUUCGGAGUUAUUUAUGCCCUUGUUGAUCCUGCUACCUAUGCCAUAAUUUCAAAAGCAUCAAGCUCGACCGAUCAGGGAAAGGCGCAAGGAUUCAUAGCUGGUAUACAAGCAAUAGCCAGUUUUUUAUCACCUCUUGCCAUAAGUCCCUUGACCGCUUGGUUUCUAUCAGAUAGUGCCCCGUUCAACUGCAAGGGCUUCAGCAUUGUAUGUGCCUCUGUAUGCAUGGUUCUGUCUUUCGCGUACGCUUGUCUGCUUAAACCUGAAGAUUGGUCACGCCAGAACUCAGAUCAGGACAACAUAGAAGACCAAGAAGCACCAUUACUUUGCAGCAGUACUGGAUAAAUUACGAACCAUCCAACUUUUCCUGUAGUCGUGAAUUUUCACCACGGUUGUUGCUGUUGCAUGUACCUCGGAGAGGCUCAUGGAGAAGUGAGUAUGUUUUCAAGGAGUUGCAUCUGACAAAGUUGUAAAUAUAGGAGAGUUUGGGAGCUGAAUCUUAGAUAAGCAGCUUAAGAUGGCUUAAUUAAAGUCAAAUGAGUCUUUUUGCUUCAGUUCUAGUUCUAUUGUGCUGUGAUGGACAUAAAGAUCCAAGAACCAGUCAUUGUCAAGAAGAACAGUCUCAAGAGUCCAAAGACUAACUUAUCAGCACAACUGUGAACGACAUCAAUUCCAUCUGCAUAAUCUUAUGGAAAGACCGGUGCUAUGCAAGCAGAGCUGAGAAAAGAUUCAUUUCGCUCGAAGACAAGCACAAGAGACUCAAGACGGCUUAGAAUAAUUACCGUGGCCAUGUGAGAUGGAGGAAGGUGCCGACCGAACCAGCAAAAACAAAUGUUGGUUACAAAGUAUUGAGCCAGCUGAAAGGAGUAUCAAAUGUAAUCAAUUAGGAACAAAUCGAGCUGAGAUCAUACGGAAAAGGAAUUGGAGGUACAAGUGGAGGAAGAGAGGAUCAGUGUCAGCUGAUGGGCAUUAUUGAAACCCAGGUCCCUUUGUUUGGUUCCGUUGACUUCUUUGUUCUUUAAUCAUGGGGAUCUCGAGCAUGUCGAUGUGAGAUGUGCGGUUGCGGACAUGUUGGCAAUUUCUUUCGAUUGCUUGGACGGUGUCUUUUGAUGUGAUAGAAUCUUGUGAGCUUCCACAGACAGGGAUUCCC
RNA transcript from Rhodamnia argentea, 2226 nucleotides. It is a transcript of the gene named hippocampus abundant transcript-like protein 1, with no coding region annotated. The transcript is spliced from 15 exons. The record is from RefSeq and is a predicted model, not a curated record. Lineage: Eukaryota; Viridiplantae; Streptophyta; Magnoliopsida; Myrtales; Myrtaceae.